Molecule: long non-coding RNA, 2558 nt
Organism: Homo sapiens (human)
Lineage: Eukaryota; Metazoa; Chordata; Mammalia; Primates; Hominidae
Product: long intergenic non-protein coding RNA 3069
Source: Ensembl
AAUUAGCGUGGGAGGAAGAGACAGUGAAGCAGCCCCUUAAAAAUGGUCUUUCGGGUGGAAACACUUUAUUUGGGAAGCAAAGUGCAAGAUUCAGCAAUAGAAACCACUCAGUGUCCUUGGUGAAUGAUUUGAUCCUGGCCAUCAGAACCUUUACUUCAGCCAGCAAUAAACUCUUAGAAACAGAAGCUUCGAGGUAUGUACUCCUGUUCUGCACGAACAAGUUUUCUGGUUGAACAUGCUGAACCUCUUAAAAAAUUCAGAACAAGUUUUCUCAGAGUUUACAAAGGGAUUUCAAUCACAUGAAGAGAGGAAAACACACUGAGUCGUAACAGUGACAUCAAAAUACUUUUGAAGUUGACUGAAAAUGUGGUUGCUUUUGUUUGAGAAUGGCAAAUUAAAGAAUUGGAUAUUGGGUUCUUAUCUCAGAAGAAACAAAGGAGGAGACCCUGAAAAACUGAACAUGAAGAGGAAGAAGUGGAGUUAUGCAACUCUUCAUAAGAAAAUCUCCAUCUGUUUGGAGAAGUACUGCGUCCUUCCGGAUUAUCUUCUACACUAUGCCUUAUUGUUAUCUGGCUGGUUCCACCACCGGUCAGAAGAAUGAAAAUUGCAGAUACCUAUUCUGUGUGUUUCUCUCCAGAAUGGUGGAUGUUAGAGACCCUACUAAGGAUUUGUGGACUCACUAACGUAGUCUCUAAAAGGUUGGACAUCCCUACCCAAGGCUCAAAUGGUAACAGGUCCAUGCCUUACUUGUGUCAGUUCUCUUAUUGAAAGAGCAUCUCCUAACCAUCCUACCAAUAAGGGUCUUACUCUGUUGCCCUGGCUGGAGUGCAGUGGCCCAAUCAUAGCUCACUGCAGCCUUGACUUCCCAGCCUCAGUUGAUCCUCCUACCUUAAUCUCCCGAGUAGCUGGGACUGCAGGUUUACUUAUACUAAGAUUUUCUUCUGCCUCUGCCAACCCUGAGACAGCAAGACCAAUUCCUCCUCUCCCCUGUCCUCCUCCUCGCCUACUCCACAUGAAGACAACGAGGAUGAAGACCUUCAUGAUGAUCCAUUUCCACUUAAUGAACAAACUUCAGGAAAUUAUUCAAGAAGAGAGGCAUGGUGGUAUGCUGGAAAGUCUGCUGAGCUUGAAAGUAGGUAACCCAGGCUCCUGUUCCUGUUCUCAUUGAUGAGUUCCCUGACUUCAGGUGAGUCACAGCUUCUCUGGACUUUCAUGUCCUUUUGCAAAGUGAGUCUGAUCAUUUCUAGGAUCUUUUCCAGCCCUGAGAUUGUAUGAGCUGCAAUAGCUAAGAGAUAUGGGAAAGUGGGUCAUUGGAAAGUUGUUUUCCUAACUCCACAGGCAACAAUGUGCCUCAUUCUUAGUCAUCAAAGGCAAAUACGAAGGGAUGGGAAGCACUCUCUUCACUGUCCAUUUGCAAGCAGAAUCACUCUUCACUUGAUUGUCCAGUGUCUGUAUAGUCUCUCACAGAGCCCAGCACAUGUGGGCAUUCUGUAAAUGGCCAUUGAGAACUGCCAGGUCUGUGGCUGCUACAGAGCACAAUGAUGAUGAUAAUGGUGUUGAUGAUCAUGAUGAUGAUGGGCUGGUGUAUCGAGGCACAGACCCAAGGAAGGCUAAUGAGAAUGUUUCUAGGGAAGCUUCCUGCAUGUCACUCUUCUUCCUUCUACUUCCUCUAGGUUCAUCUUCCCUGACUAACAGGGAGCCAGGGCUAUAAUAACGGGAAGGAAGUCAUCAUGUGAUUCUACCUAGAAACGCAGGCAUCAACUUGAAAUGUUUUCUCUUUCUCUUGUAACUCUGGAAUAUGGCUCCUUGGAUUGGAGGUGGCAAAUACCACGGGUUAAACAAUGUCAUUCUGAGCUCUUUUAGUACUGAAUAAUGCAAUAUAUACCAUAUUCUACCCUCUUAAAGAAGGAGUGUAUCAGCUAUGUGCCUGAUAUGGUUUGGCUCUAUGUCCCCACCCAAAUCUCAUCUUGUAGCACCCAUAAUUCCCAGGUUUUGUGGGAGGGACCCGGUGGGAGAUGAUUGAAUCAUGGGGGCUGGUCUUUCCUGUGCUGGUCUUCUGAUAGUAAAUGGGUCUCACAAGAUCUGAUGGUUUUUGAAAACAGGAGUUUCUCUGCAUGAGCUCUCUCUGCCUGCUGCCAUCCACUUAAGAUGUGACUUGCUCGUCCAUCGCCUUCUGCCAUGAUUGUGAGGCCUCCCCAGCCACGUGGAACUUAGCUCAGGACAGCAACCAGACCUGAGAUUCUUUUCAACUUAUACGCUGUUGAUGAAUGUGGUUUCUGGAUGAAAAACUGAGAACAGACUGACCCUCUGGCCACAGCUACUCGCGUCAGGGACGCAUAGUUGCAGGUGCAUGCUGUCUGGUUUGGUUUGCCAAGUCAAAAUAGUUGUGUUUCCCGCUGUGGUGAGAGUUUCCAACUUCAGACGGGGCAAGAGAAAUUCUAAACAGUUUGCCCUUUGCAGAUGUAUUGAAAUAGUACUGAAAUUUACUGAUUUUCCCUCAUGUUUUUUUUCCGUGCUUUUAUCACUACCCUGAAAAUAAACAAGGAGAAAAGGCAAGC